RNAcentral lists this ribosomal RNA (253 nucleotides) under uncultured bacterium. Its description in RNAcentral is "partial 16S ribosomal RNA". It matches the Rfam family "Bacterial small subunit ribosomal RNA", at positions 524 to 776 of the family's 1533-position model. The record is from RNAcentral.
UACGUAGGGUGCGAGCGUUGUCCGGAAUUAUUGGGCGUAAAGGGCUCGUAGGCGGUUUGUCGCGUCGGGAGUGAAAAUCCAGGGCUUAACUCUGGACUGGCUUUCGAUACGGGCAGACUAGAGGUAUGCAGGGGAGAACGGAAUUCCUGGUGUAGCGGUGAAAUGCGCAGAUAUCAGGAGGAACACCGGUGGCGAAGGCGGGUCUCUGGGCAACAACUGACGCUGAGGAGCGAAAGCGUGGGGAGCGAACAGG